Molecule: ribosomal RNA, 127 nt
Filed under: Bison bison bison
Lineage: Eukaryota; Metazoa; Chordata; Mammalia; Artiodactyla; Bovidae
Source: RNAcentral
GUCUCAGGCCGUAUCAGCCCUGAAAGGCGCCCCGAUCUCGUCUGAUCUCGGAAGCUAAGCAGGGUCGGGGCCUGGUUUAGGAUCUUGGGAUCGGGAGACCACCUGGGAAUCCCGGGUGCUCGAGGCU